CCUACGGGAGGCUGCAGUCGAGAAUCUUCGGCAAUGCGCGAAAGCGUGACCGAGCGACGCCGCGUGCGGGAUGAAGGCCUUCGGGUUGUAAACCGCGAAAGUAGGGAGGAAGGCCCCGUGAAGAACGGGGUUUGACCUAUCUACAGUAAGGACGGGCUAAGUUCGUGCCAGCAGCCGCGGUAAUACGAACCGUCCAAACGUUAUUCGGAAUUACUGGGCUUAAAGGGUACGUAGGCGGCGCUGCAAGUCGGGUGUGAAAUCCCUCGGCUCAACCGAGGAACUGCGCCCGAUACUGCCGUGCUCGAGGGAGACAGGGGUAAGCGGAACUGAUGGUGGAGCGGUGAAAUGCGUUGAUAUCAUCAGGAACACCGGUGGCGAAAGCGGCUUACUGGGUCUCUUCUGACGCUGAGGUACGAAAGCUAGGGUAGCGAAGGGGAUUA
This 440-nucleotide ribosomal RNA is filed under the name uncultured bacterium. RNAcentral describes it as "bacterial SSU rRNA". It matches the Rfam family "Bacterial small subunit ribosomal RNA", at positions 338 to 780 of the family's 1533-position model. The record is from RNAcentral.